AAUCUCAUGGCUCAAUUGGAUAGAGCGUUGGUCUACGAAACCAAAGGCUGAAGGUUCGAGUCCUUCUGGGAUUA
This 74-nucleotide transfer RNA is filed under the name Chryseobacterium gambrini. Its description in RNAcentral is "tRNA-Arg". It matches the Rfam family "tRNA". From Rfam's summary of the family: Transfer RNA (tRNA) molecules are approximately 80 nucleotides in length. The record is from RNAcentral. Lineage: Bacteria; Pseudomonadati; Bacteroidota; Flavobacteriia; Flavobacteriales; Weeksellaceae. RNAcentral also lists the same sequence under 3 other names.